RNAcentral lists this ribosomal RNA (467 nucleotides) under uncultured bacterium. RNAcentral's name for it is "partial 16S ribosomal RNA". It matches the Rfam family "Bacterial small subunit ribosomal RNA", at positions 28 to 506 of the family's 1533-position model. The record is from RNAcentral.
GACGAACGCUGGCGGCGUGCUUAACACAUGCAAGUCGAACGGAAAGGCCCUGCUUUUGUGGGGUGCUCGAGUGGCGAACGGGUGAGUAACACGUGAGUAACCUGCCCUUGACUUUGGGAUAACUUCAGGAAACUGGGGCUAAUACCGGAUAGGAGCUCCUGCUGCAUGGUGGGGGUUGGAAAGUUUCGGCGGUUGGGGAUGGACUCGCGGCUUAUCAGCUUGUUGGUGGGGUAGUGGCUUACCAAGGCUUUGACGGGUAGCCGGCCUGAGAGGGUGACCGGCCACAUUGGGCCUGGGAUACGGCCCAGACUCCUACGGGGGGCAGCAGUGGGGAAUAUUGCACAAUGGGCGGAAGCCUGAUGCAGCAACGCCGCGUGCGGGAUGACGGCCUUCGGGUUGUAAACCGCUUUCGCCUGUGACGAAGCGUGAGUGACGGUAAUGGGGAAAGAAGCACCGGCUAACUACGU